CCUCGCGUGAGCUGGCGGGCCGGCAGCCUGCAGCCCAGGGCCAGGUCAACCUCCACGGAGCCGGCUGGCUUUGGCCGCGGGAGGAACAGUCCGAAGGACCCGUGGCAGCGCGGCGCUCUCGGCCUGCUGCAGCUGCGUUUCGAGGCGGAGCCCGCCCUUGGUGGGGUCCCCCCAAGCCGGCCUGCCCGGGGGCUCUGAGGACCUGGACCGUGUUGUAGAAAACUGUUAUAAUUCGGACUACACCGCGAAGGCGCGGUGCAGGAGACCUGGCCGAGGACGUUGUGCUGCGCUGGAAACGGCUUCGGAGAACUCAUCGCAAAUUACUGUGUCGAUCAUCCAACCUCUGAAGGGCUGCUCUGUGCCGGGCACUAAGGCAAGGGCACUGUUACAAACUGCAUCGUCAUUAGCACCCCAUAUGUAUGAACCACAUUUUAAUUUUGCAACAGUCUCUGAUAAGAUUGGAGAUCUACGGAGAAGUUACGUUGCUGCAUAGAAGUGGAAGCAGCAUUUCCAGAUCAUGUGGAUACACAACAUUUAAUGAAGCAAUUAAAGCAGCAUUUUACUAUG
Cynocephalus volans (Philippine flying lemur) is the source of this 567-nucleotide long non-coding RNA. RefSeq lists it as uncharacterized. The transcript is spliced from 3 exons. Lineage: Eukaryota; Metazoa; Chordata; Mammalia; Dermoptera; Cynocephalidae. The record is from RefSeq and is a predicted model, not a curated record.